GGCUGCUUUAAUGAGGCAGUUUUUUUCUUUUUUUCUCUAACUGAUGAACACCUAGUGAAACUGAAGUUGCAUUAAUUUGGAUACGGGUGUAAUAAAUAAGGAUAAUUUGUCUUUUAACAUGCUGGAAAUGUAGGAGGAAGCUUACAAUAACCAUUGGCAGUUGUUCUAUUUCUCUGUUGUGAGGAAGUCUUAGUGGGGGUUGAGAGACAGUGGGUCUACAAUACUUAAUAUCUAUUUCCAGAGUAAGAUGGAAGAUGAGAGCUAAAAUGUCCAUGAGAGGUUGUGUGUUCACUGUGGUUCCGCUUUUGCAGGAACCUGAAUGUAUGACAUGCAAUGCAAUCGGGGCUUUAUCAAUGCUUUCUCCUAGAAGAGCUGUACUGUAUUAAUAAUUCAAGGGAAGUGGACUGAGAGGGACAGGUAUUCCUACUUUAGUUUAACAGCAGUCUUAACAUCUCCAGUGUCUCUAUCUCAAUGAGGAAAAGUUCAGCUCAUAGAUUGGCCCCUGUCCCUGUGUAAAGGGUGGAUAUUUGAGAGACAUGUCAUAAACUCUCUUUUUUGCUUCAGGUGAUUGCGAAGAGCACUGAAUAGAUGAUAGUCCCCCAGAAACAGCUUUUCAAACUUCUGCUGACUUCAGUAGCUGCUGCUGGAGUAUUUUCUGUUUCAUAAAG
Long non-coding RNA from Gallus gallus (chicken), 668 nucleotides. The record is from Ensembl. NCBI's taxonomy places the organism in Eukaryota, Metazoa, Chordata, Aves, Galliformes, Phasianidae.